Molecule: ribosomal RNA, 404 nt
Filed under: actinobacterium BAL179
Lineage: Bacteria; Bacillati; Actinomycetota; Actinomycetes
Description: bacterial SSU rRNA
Rfam family: Bacterial small subunit ribosomal RNA
Source: RNAcentral
GGUGAAAGAGAGCUUGCUCUCUGGAUCAGUGGCGAACGGGUGAGUAACACGUGAGCAAUCUGCCCCUGACUCUGGGAUAACAGUUGGAAACAGCUGCUAAUACCGGAUACGAGACGUGAAGGCAUCUUCAACGUCUGGAAAGAACUUCGGUCAGGGAUGAGCUCGCGGCCUAUCAGCUUGUUGGUGAGGUAAUGGCUCACCAAGGCGUCGACGGGUAGCCGGCCUGAGAGGGUGACCGGCCACACUGGGACUGAGACACGGCCCAGACUCCUACGGGAGGCAGCAGUGGGGAAUAUUGCACAAUGGGCGCAAGCCUGAUGCAGCAACGCCGCGUGAGGGACGACGGCCUUCGGGUUGUAAACCUCUUUUAGCAGGGAAGAAGCGAAAGUGACGGUACCUGCAGA